GAUGAAGAACGUAGCGAAAUGCGAUAAGUAAUGUGAAUUGCAGAAUUCAGUGAAUCAUCGAAUCUUUGAACGCACCUUGCGCCCUUUGGCUAUUCCGAAGGGCAUGCCUGUUUGAGUAUCAUGAACAUCUCAACUCCUCACGGUUCGCCCGUGACGAGCUUGGACUUUGGGGGUCUUGCCGGCCUGCGGGUCGGCUCCUCUCAAAUGAAUCAGCUUGCCGGUGUUUGGUGGCGUCACAGGUGUGAUAAAUAUCUACGCUUGUGGUUUUCCGCCAGGUAACCUCCAGCGAUGGGGGUUCACUGGAGCUCACGAAUGUCUCUCCUCGGUGAGGACAGCUCUUUGAACGUUUGAUCUCCAAUCAGGUAGGGCUACCCGCUGAACUUAAGCAUAUCAUAAGCGGAGGA
RNAcentral lists this unclassified non-coding RNA (404 nucleotides) under soil metagenome. RNAcentral's name for it is "partial contains 5.8S ribosomal RNA, internal transcribed spacer 2, and large subunit ribosomal RNA". The stretch from base 1 to 121 matches the Rfam family "5.8S ribosomal RNA", at positions 35 to 154 of the family's 154-position model. The record is from RNAcentral.